This is a non-coding RNA of Pelobates cultripes (western spadefoot toad), 204 nucleotides long. Lineage: Eukaryota; Metazoa; Chordata; Amphibia; Anura; Pelobatidae. The record is from the annotation of a GenBank genome assembly.
AUUUUGUUAAACCCUCUAUUCGAGUGGUACAUGUAUGGAGACUUCUUAGCUCUUAUUGGACAAUAAGGACGCAAUGAUGAACCUCAAAUCAGAUCAGACGUCGGUCGGAAGAAAGGAACAGUGGACCCGCAGGGAUCCUGAAUAGACAUGCGGCCAUCUUGUGAAGGUCAAAUACAUGGCCACUGAAUAAAUAAGGAUAUCCUC